CGGGACGGGUGAGUAAUGCUUGGGAAUCUAGCCUAUGGAGGGGGAUAACUACGGGAAACUGUAGCUAAUACCGCGUAAUAUCGAAAGAUUAAAGUGUGGGACCUUCGGGCCACAUGCCAUAGGAUGAGCCCAAGUGGGAUUAGGUAGUUGGUGAGGUAAAGGCUCACCAAGCCGACGAUCUCUAGCUGGUCUGAGAGGAUGACCAGCCACACUGGGACUGAGACACGGCCCAG
Molecule: ribosomal RNA, 233 nt
Filed under: uncultured bacterium
Lineage: Bacteria
Description: partial 16S ribosomal RNA
Rfam family: Bacterial small subunit ribosomal RNA
Source: RNAcentral